This 255-nucleotide ribosomal RNA is filed under the name uncultured bacterium. RNAcentral's name for it is "partial 16S ribosomal RNA". It matches the Rfam family "Bacterial small subunit ribosomal RNA", at positions 524 to 777 of the family's 1533-position model. The record is from RNAcentral.
UACGUAGGGCGCAAGCGUUAUCCGGAAUUAUUGGGCGUAAAGAGCUCGUAGGCGGUUUGUCGCGUCUGCCGUGAAAGUCCGGGGCUCAACUCCGGAUCUGCGGUGGGUACGGGCAGACUAGAGUGAUGUAGGGGAGACUGGAAUUCCUGGGUGUAGCGGUGAAAUGCGCAGAUAUCAGGAGGAACACCGAUGGCGAAGGCAGGUCUCUGGGCAUUAACUGACGCUGAGGAGCGAAAGCAUGGGGAGCGAACAGGA